AGACUGCUCCUUCUAGAAUUCCACCACUUGUACUUUUGUUUUGUUUGAACCCGUUACCAACUUUAAUGCUACCGGCUAUUCCCGGUCCCGCGCGCCCAUCCUCCAAACACCGAACUUAACCGAUAUUCCCAUCCAGGUUCAUGAUAUCGUCGUAUAUCUAUCAGCUCUUCAGAGAUUUCUGAUUCCCCAUUUCCCUGAAUUAGGGUUCGAGUUUGGCUUGAAAUUUCAUGGAAGCUUCAGCUUCUGCGUCUUCAAAGUCUAACAGUAACAGGCCAAGGAUUCGUUAUUUCAGCUGUAGUUCCUUUAGGCGUUGUUGUCGCUGUUUCUGUUGUUUCUACGCAUAUCCUUGAGUUUGAAAUUCCCUUUUUUUUAAUCUUUUGUUCUUUGAAGUUUUGAAAUGGAUUUAUCGCAAGCUCAAUCGGGUCUAUCGCUUGGGUUUCACUCGCACUCAUCUUCCAAUCCGAUUCCGUUGCAACUACUUGAUCAGAGGGAAGAGAACCUAGUUGAGAAAGAUGAAAAUCAGGCUGAAGAAGAGGAGAAUUUUAGCAUUUUGGGUCAUCCAAUGUGUAUAAAGAGGCAAAGAGAUGGCCAAUCAUCGUCCUCCUCAUCAUCGUCGCCCAACCCUCCUAAGCGAGUCGCCGUGGAACCAGGACUCGAGUGUCGACGAGCCAUGGUUCGAGGCUGGGGCAACCAAUCACUUCCCGUGGCGGACCCAGAAAUUCAUGAAAUUAUGGAGAAAGAGAAGCAGAGGCAGGUAAAAGGAAUCGAACUUAUAGCAUCGGAGAAUUUUGUUUGCCGUGCGGUGAUGGAAGCUCUAGGUAGCCACUUGACGAAUAAAUACUCUGAGGGACUUCCCGGAGCCAGAUACUACACUGGAAAUCAGUAUAUUGACCAAAUUGAAUCGCUAUGUUGCAGUCGGGCAUUAGCGGCCUUUGGGCUUGAUCCUGAAAAAUGGGGCGUUAAUGUGCAGCCAUAUUCAUGUACAUCCGCGAAUUUUGCGGUUUACACGGGCCUUUUACUACCUGGGGACCGGAUUAUGGGUUUGGAUUCACCUUCUGGGGGGCAUUUGAGUCAUGGAUAUUAUACUUCGGGUGGAAAAAAGGUGUCUGCUUCGUCGAUUUUCUUUGAGAGUUUGCCUUACAAAGUGAAUCUACAAACUGGGUAUAUUGAUUAUGAUAAGAUGGAGGACAAGGCAAUGGAUUUUAGACCCAAGAUACUUAUUUGUGGUGGAAGCUCAUACCCAAGGGAAUGGGAUUACGCCAGGUUUAGGCAAGUUGCAGAUAAGAUUGGAGCAGUAUUGAUGUGUGACAUGGCUCAUAUCAGCGGCCUUGUGGCAGCUAAGGAAUCUGCAAGUCCAUUUGAUUAUUGUGAUAUUGUCACUUCCACAACUCACAAAAGUCUUCGAGGUCCCAGAGGAGGAAUUAUUUUUUAUCGGAAAGGGCCAAAAUCAAGGAAGCAAAACAUGCUUCUUAGUCAUGGUGAUGGUAGUGUCCAUUAUGAUUUCGAAGAAAGGAUAAACUUUGCAGUUCAUCCAUCAUUACAAGGUGGUCCUCACAAUAAUCACAUUGCAGCUCUUGCCGUAGCCUUAAAACAAGUAGCUACUCCAGAUUACAAAGCAUACAUGCAACAGGUGAAGAAAAAUGCCCAGGCAUUAGCGUCUGCCUUGUUGAGAAGAAAAUGCAAAUUGGUGACUGGGGGUACUGAUAACCACUUACUGCUCUGGGAUCUAACUACUCUAGGCUUAGCAGGCAGGAACUAUGAGAAAGUAUGUGAAAUGUGCCACAUCACUCUAAAUAAGAUUGCUAUCUUUGGUGACAAUGGUGCUAUUUGUCUUGGUGGAGUGAGAAUUGGCACUCCUGCUAUGACAUCAAGAGGCUGUUUAGAGGUUGAUUUUGAAACUAUUGCCGACUUUCUUCUUAGGGCAGCUCAGAUAACAUGUGCGGUACAAAGGGAAUACGGGAAAUUCCCAAAAGAUUUCCCCAAGGGUCUUCAAAACAGUAGAGAUAUCGUUGAGCUUCGAAACCGGGUUGAGACAUUUGCUUCCCAGUUUGCAAUGCCAGGAUUCGACUUUUGAAUAUGUAAAGGGGUCAAAUCAAAUGCAUCCUUUGGUUGCUUCCUGCAAUCUUUAUGGAUGCGUGUUGUUUUGAAUUUUGGUUAAACAUGCAAGACAUGCGAAUAUCUGCUUAAGGGUGAAAACCGUAUUUUUGUUCCCCUUAUUUAUGGCCAAUGUGCAGGUUCUAAGGUAAUGUGCUGUGGCACGGUGCAAUAUGAUUCCUCAGUAUAUGUCUCGUGCUGCCGGAAUGUCCUGUUCUUCGCAUUUUUGCUGUUAAUUAAAGGUGCCUUUUUGGUGGUAUGGAUAAUUGAUUUGCUGCUAUUUGGUAUUAAUUUGUUGAUUACAAAUUAGUUCAGCAUGCAGAGAGAGAGAGAGAGAGAGAGAGAGAGAGAGAGAGGUAGGAAGUGGAAUUUGGUUCUUGUCUUUUCACUAUUCAAAUCUUGUUGGAAUAUUAAAGAACUUGAUUACUGAUGAUAGUUAAAGGCUUCGUCGUGUGUUUUAAAGGGCAAUGGUUAUUAACAGUAAACUCUGCGAAGAUUUUCCGUUUC
Molecule: RNA transcript, 2601 nt
Organism: Hevea brasiliensis (rubber tree)
Lineage: Eukaryota; Viridiplantae; Streptophyta; Magnoliopsida; Malpighiales; Euphorbiaceae
Gene name: serine hydroxymethyltransferase 7
Exons: 5
Source: RefSeq, a predicted model, not a curated record